This is a long non-coding RNA of Planococcus citri (citrus mealybug), 1914 nucleotides long. RefSeq lists it as uncharacterized. The transcript has 2 exons. Lineage: Eukaryota; Metazoa; Arthropoda; Insecta; Hemiptera; Pseudococcidae. The record is from RefSeq and is a predicted model, not a curated record.
AGUUGGAAAUCCAAAAUCCACGCUGUACUCCGAAUUCAACACGCUCUUGAGUCGACUGCUGGUGGGUUAAAGUCAUUUUGAAGCCUGCAGUGAAUUUUUUGAAGUUUCUGGAGCCUCCAGCAGAGUUUUGAAACUCGAAAUUCCCGCAAAAUUUUAUCGAAUACAGUUGGAAAGCCCAUAAGUUAAUUUGGACAGAUUUUCUGCCAUUUUUUGAAAAACUGAUUUUUUCAAAAAGCAGCUGGUGGCUUUAGGACGGAUUGCAACUGCCUGAAACCCACUUCCGCCUGUCUUCAUCAUAAUGACAAAAAUAUAAUAUAAAAUGAAUUUAUUCAUUCUAUGUAAGUACUUCUAGUGGAGACGGAAAGGUGAAUUUUUCAAAUUUUUAGAUAAGUAAAUAUGAAAUCGACGCAUAAAAAUAUUUUUCCAACUGGAAUAUACCGAUUUUGAAAAAAUGAACGAGUACAUUUUCGGUCAUAAAAAUCAUUAACAAGCGCCGACAGGUUUCAUGACCUUUUUUGGAAAACUGGAAUUUUAAAAAAGUAACUGAAAGCUUCAAAACGACUAGAACUCACCUGCAGUCGACUUCAUAGCGUAUUGAAAUUAGUUUGCGGAAUGAAUUUCGACAUGUCAACUACAUUUGAUGAAAUUUCGUGGGAAUUCCAAGUUUCAAAAACUUACGGAAGGCUCCAAGAAUUUUCAAAAAGUCGCUGUAGGCUCCAAAAUAAUUUGAAUCCACUAGCAGUCGACUUGAUAGAGUGUUGAAGUUGGAGUGCAGCGUGAUUUCGGAUUUCCACCUUCAUUUCGAUGACAUUUUCACAAAAUUUCAUAUUUCAAAAAUGUCCUGGAGGCUCCAGAACUGCUCAAAACAGUUUGAAACCGGUUUCAAUCGAUUUGGCAGGUCGAAAAUCGGGUAGAUCCAAAAUUUCAGCUUUUCAAGUCGAUUUGGUAAAAUUUUGAUUUUUUCUCUCAUUUUUAGUCUCAAUUCAAUUUUUAAAAAUUCGCCAAAAAUCAAAAAAUGCACUUUAGCACUAAAAAUUUUGGCUGGUGAUAAAUUUUUGCAUGCUCUUUCGAUCUAGCUUCGUCCAGUUUAAAAAAUUCCGUGCGAGUUCUACUAUAAUAUGUUGGAAAGCAAAAUCUGCGAUUUCGUCGGACCAUGUGAAUCAAAAUGGCGGCCAUUUUGUUGGUGAGGCCAACUUCUUUUUGACAUCCGACAUCGAGCGUAUUUUCGGACUUGAAUUUUCACCAAAAAACAUUCGAAGGUCUCGAAGUGAGGUUUUGGUUUGAAAAAGUAGGGGAAGAAAGGUAGGGAGGGGGCAUUCUAGACCGAGACCCUCAUUUCUCGCUUGCACCACUCUAAUUAUCUUUAUCAAACAUUAUCUACACUAUUUCAAAUCACACGAUAGGGUUAAGAAUUUAAAUGAAACCGUACUCGACUUCCCAUGUAUAGUUGUUUUAGCUUAUUUAACAGCAAGGUUUUCAUUUUCGUUCGUGCUGUUUAAAUAUUUUUUCAAAUAAUAUGGUUUGUGAAAAGUAUUUUUCUAAAUUUUUCAAAAGCAUCAAGCCAGGUAAAAAUAAUGAGCAACCGAACCCGAAAUCAGAAAGUUUGCUAAAUGAAAUCCAACACCACACAACGACUCAGAUUCAUAAAGUCGACUUUAGUUGGACAAUAGACGAAUUAGAUUUUCAUAUAACGAAAAAAGAGUUCCUAAAAUCGUGCAAGUUUUCAUCCAUCACAAACGACGAAUGUAAAUGGCGUUUGGUCUGUUUGCCCUAUGAUAAACUUUAUAGGCCUGACCGCGACGACCUCGUGGGAAUCUGUGUAUGCUUAGUUCUUAUAUCGGAUCAUGCAGAUACUAAAUUACUCGUAAAAAGAGAGAUUUGUUUUCUGAAUAGCACACAAAAAGAAGUACAAAA